UACGUAGGGUGCGAGCGUUGUCCGGAAUUAUUGGGCGUAUAGAGCUCGUAGGUGGCUUGUCACGUCGGGUGUGAAAGCUUGGGGCUUAACUCCAGGUCUGCAUUCGAUACGGGCUGGCUAGAGGUAGGUAGGGGAGAACGGAAUUCCUGGUGUAGCGGUGAAAUGCGCAGAUAUCGGGAGGAACACCCGUAGCGAAGGCGGCACUCUGGGCCGGUACUGACGCUGAGGAGCGAAAGCGUGGGGAGCAAACAGG
RNAcentral lists this ribosomal RNA (253 nucleotides) under uncultured bacterium. RNAcentral's name for it is "partial 16S ribosomal RNA". It matches the Rfam family "Bacterial small subunit ribosomal RNA", at positions 524 to 776 of the family's 1533-position model. The record is from RNAcentral.